This is a non-coding RNA of Triticum aestivum (bread wheat), 115 nucleotides long. The record is from Rfam. NCBI's taxonomy places the organism in Eukaryota, Viridiplantae, Streptophyta, Magnoliopsida, Poales, Poaceae.
AUAGUACUCUCUCCAUUCUGAAUUACUUGUCGCGGAUAUGGAGGUAUCUAGAUGUAUUUUAGUUCUAAAUUCAUCCAUUUCUGCGACCAAUAAUUUGGAACGGAGGGAGUAUUAA